Molecule: ribosomal RNA, 465 nt
Filed under: Vreelandella stevensii
Lineage: Bacteria; Pseudomonadati; Pseudomonadota; Gammaproteobacteria; Oceanospirillales; Halomonadaceae
Description: partial 16S ribosomal RNA
Rfam family: Bacterial small subunit ribosomal RNA
Source: RNAcentral
CCUACGGGAGGCAGCAGUGGGGAAUAUUGGACAAUGGGGGGAACCCUGAUCCAGCCAUGCCGCGUGUGUGAAGAAGGCCCUCGGGUUGUAAAGCACUUUCAGUGAGGAAGAACGCCUGGUGGUUAAUACCCAUCAGGAAAGACAUCACUCACAGAAGAAGCACCGGCUAACUCCGUGCCAGCAGCCGCGGUAAUACGGAGGGUGCGAGCGUUAAUCGGAAUUACUGGGCGUAAAGCGCGCGUAGGUGGCUUGAUAAGCCGGUUGUGAAAGCCCCGGGCUCAACCUGGGAACGGCAUCCGGAACUGUCAAGCUAGAGUGCAGGAGAGGAAGGUAGAAUUCCCUGUGUAGCGGUGAAAUGCGUAGAGAUCGGGAGGAAUACCAGUGGCGAAGGCGGCCUUCUGGACUGACACUGACACUGAGGUGCGAAAGCGUGGGUAGCAAACAGGAUUAGAUACCCUAGUAGUC